GCGGGAGUGGCGGAACUGGCAGACGCGCAGGAUUUAGGUUCCUGUGCCUUCGGGUGUGAGGGUUCGAGUCCCUCCUCCCGCA
This 82-nucleotide transfer RNA is filed under the name Actinomycetota bacterium. RNAcentral describes it as "tRNA-Leu". It matches the Rfam family "tRNA". From Rfam's summary of the family: Transfer RNA (tRNA) molecules are approximately 80 nucleotides in length. Their secondary structure includes four short double-helical elements and three loops (D, anti-codon, and T loops). The record is from RNAcentral. Lineage: Bacteria; Bacillati; Actinomycetota.